UGGCUAAAAACUAUCAUGCAACAUGAGAAAUCAAGAGUGCUAGAAGAUUGAGAGGUUUAUUACAAUGUUACCUCCCUUUUGCAGACAAUCUCAGCUGGAAAAAUGUGGACAGUUUCCUCCCUCUGCUCCUCAAAGAAUCGCACCAGAUUUCUCUCUUCUUGCUCCCCCCACUGCCUCUAGUUUGCACGCCAAACAGCUGCAGUCCUUCCCCCCUCUCAACUCUCCGUUGGUUGGCGUGGUAAUAGGAAAUGAUUCACUCUUUCUCCCUUACUCUCUCUUGGGUGCAGACUUGGAGCAAUGAAGAACCAGAAAUGUUUCUCACUCGGUGGUGUUUUGGAAUGAAUGGUUAUGACCGAAACUCUCUCUCUCUCUCGGUUCUGUUUCUACUGCUUGGUUGAUAAGAAGAGAAUUCGACUUAUUUCCUUCACUCAGCCGACCACUCAAGCUUCCUCAUUCGGUGCUAAUCAAUCCAAACUCUCAUUCGGUCACUGCCUACUCAACAAUUUUGGUGGCAAGUUCAUCUGGCUGCUGUCCAAAUAACAAUUAUGCACCGCCCAACUAUCACACAAAUUUCACUCCUUUUCUUUUCCACCAUUUAGACAGCAGCUCCUUACGGUUCCAAGCGCUCCACUUAUACGUCUCCCUUUCAGUUUUAUUUUAUGAAGUACCGUUAGCUGGUUUCUUGGCUGCAUGGAAAAUUAACCAAAACUCUAAGGUUGGUUUGGUCUUCUUUUUUUAAUUUUUUGUUCAUUUGUUUGUCAUGAGUCCGUGAUUUUAUUGCCUCAUGCAUUGCCCCAAAAUUUUUCGUUUGUUCUAAUUUGUAUGUACCUUGAGAAAUUUUCCUUAUAUCGAUCCAGUAAAUUUUCACAUAUUUAGGUUUUAAGGAAAAUUAAUUAGGCAUGUAUUUUUUCAACUAUAUAAUGAAUUAAGAAGUCACAAUUUGCAAUAUGUCUAUCAUUUGUUUAUUUGAUUCCUAAAAUUUUCUACACCAUUCUAGGAUAUUUCUAAAUUCUCAAUUUUUAUAUAAAUUCAAUUAGGCAUUUAAUUUAACCAUUUAUUCGUUAUAAUAUUUCUAAUAACAAAGUAAAUAAAACAAAAUAAAUUCAAGGCAUACACAUAACUCUUUUUUUUUUCUUGAGUUCUCACAUCUUAGCUAUGGGGGAGCUAAUAUAGACUUAUUAGAAGGGAAAUUGAUUUUAAGGGUUGGUAAGGAAAAGAAAGAAUUUAAUGCUUUUGAACCCCUAAAUUACCCUUCUUAUGAAUCUUGUUCAUAUCUUAACAUUACUGACGAUUUAUCAGGUGAGAAGUAUGUUACAAAGCAAGGCUUGGAAUUGGUGCUCGGACUAAAUCAUCGCCAGUAUUCCUCUUGGGUGGUUCGAAAGCAAUUUUUUGAUUAUCAAUGUUACGAAAAAUCUCAUGUGCAUGCGCUGAAUGGAGUGGAAUGAUCUGAGCCAUUUCAUCCGCCAUAAUCAUAUCGGUCCCGUCUAGCUGAAGACGUUAAAUUUAGCGUUUCGUGGGAGGCAACCCGACUUCUUUCUAAUUUUAUUUAAUAUUUUCUUUUGUUUGGGAUUAAUGGUGGUGUUUAUUUCCUUACAAUUUUAUUGGUUUCUAGUUUGGAUUAUUUGGUGGUGUAUUUAACUACUAUUUAUAAUAUUUUCUUGUCUUUUUAUAGGUUGGUAGGAUGACUUACUGAGUAUGACCAUUGGAUGGUAACGACAACUUCUCUUACUCUACUUGAUCAUUGGCACUCCAUUGGUUAUUAGGGGAGUUUCACUUUUAGCUCUUUUCAUGUUAUUAUUAUUUUUAUUUUAUCCCCAACAUUGAGGACAAUGUUGUCUCAAGUGUGGGGGAGGAGUAAAUGGGUUUAGGUUAAAAUUUUUCAAAUUUUUGUUGCUAAUUCCCUGAAAGGCAAUGUCUUAUAUUUCGAGUAUUAUUAUUGUUAAAGCAAUAUGUGUAUGAAUGUGUUAAAUGUUAAAUGGUGUUGCUUUAGGGUGCGUCUUUGGUGAAUAUUUGAUAUUUUGAAACUUUUUCAAUUUUUGGCUAAUUUUUCUAGGCAUUGUAAAUAUUUUUCUAACAUUUUUCUAGUGAAUUUGGCCUAAUUAUUAAUUUUAGUUCUACAUAUUAUUGGGAUAUGAAACAGGCUUUUGUGUUCUUAUUUGUACUUAUAUGCUUAUUUUAUUAAUUUAACUGUACUCCGUUGGUUGUCAUUGUCUAGUAACCAGAGGUUUUUACCUAAAAGUGUCAACUAUCACAUCAAAAAGUGACAAUAACUAUGAGUAUGUUAUUCUUAAGUGGUAAAAGCUGAUUAAUCAGGCUCUUUCAUUUAGGAGAUGUUGGAGUUCACGUCAAAAGAGUUGAACGGCUGAGAAUUAAGUAUAUUCCCCUUGUUAAAAUGUGAAAAGCUUAAGUGUGAGGGAAUUUGAAGAAAACAAAGAGAAAAAUAUGAAAAAAAAGAAACAAAAAUAUGUGGAUUAUAAUAAUAGUCUGUAGAUCCAUAUAGUUAUAUGUUUGAGAUUUUGCAUAAUAGUUGGGCCAUCUCUGAGGAAAUGCUUGUUAAAUAUUUAUAUUCCUAAUUUAGUUAGCCGGAGUUGAAAGGGUCGAUGGUGUUAAAUGCUAAUCGAAGAAGUAUCUCUUUGAUUUUUACUAUUAGUACUUAACACUUGUUUAGAAUGGUUGCUCUAAUAAUGAUAACCUUGAUAUAGUCAUUGUUUGUAUUUAAUUGAUUUUGUUUUUGUGCUUGAGAAUAAGCACAGACUAAGUAUGGGGGAGUUUAAUAGGGUGUAUAUUAUAAUGCAUUUAUAGGCAUAAGUUGCUAAUUAACCAUGUUAUGGGAAAUUUAUCUUGAGUAGAAAUUACUUAAUUUUGCUUGUAUAUUAUUCUAAUAGGUCAAGAGCUCAAUUGGAGAGAAAAUGGACUAAAAACAUGGCAUAAAGAAGCAAUGAAAGAGGAUAAAGUCAAGAGAAAGAGGUUUCACAGGAAUGACAUAUUUCAAUAUUUUGGCGAUAACUUGAGCUUCACAAAUCAGAUUGAGAUGUCCUUGAUUCAAUUCAAAGCUCAGAAAAUACUCUACAACUUUUAUGAGAUAUUAAAGUUUGGUUCUCAUAUUUUCAUGGUCAAAAGUUCAAAUUACUGAAGUAUAGUUGCGCUGCAAUGCUCUUACGACCAAGUCUUAGUAUUUUAGGCAUAUCGCAGUGUCCAAACAUCCAAGGAAAGCUUAUUCAAAGGGUUACAAUUUCUUUGUUUUGAGAAAUAACUGAUUCAGCCUAUUUGAUGGACUUUUUGGGAUUCAAAAUCAAUCCACACGUGGAUCCGUAUUGAUCCGCGGAUGGAUCCAUGACAGGCACUGGACAUCACAAAUGACUUCGCGCUGAACAUCUCCAAAUUCUUUUGCAUUCUGAGCUUGGCCCGAUGACCAAUGCCGGUCAUUGGGCCGGUCUUCAUCGGAAAAAUGUGCGGAAAUAGGAUUUUUUGAGUCCAAUAAAGCCUAUUUCUACCAUGUUUAGGAUAUAUCUUCAAGAAACCAUAAAUAGGAGUCAUUUAGGUUGGUUUUUAGGGGGAAAAAAGUAGUCUAAUCUAGUUUUAACAUCUUUUCAUAGUUUGUUCUUGAGACAUCAAGAUCAAAUGGAGGCGAAUCAAAGAGUGUGCAAGGAGAAGAUUGGAGCAAGCAAUUGAGAAAUUUUCUUACUCUUUUUCUUAUCUUUGUAGCAACUCUUUGAAUUCAUGGUUUUAAUUUCCAAAUCUUGUUGAACUAAAUUGUUGCUGGGGUUAGGGUUUUUGUGACGGAAUUUGAUUAAUUUUUCUAGUUUGAUUUCUUGCCUUUUGUUAUGAUUUAUCUAUCUUGAUUUAAUUACGUGUUCAUACUUGACCACCAUAGACAUACUUUUAGGAUUUGUAUUGAAGUGAGAAGGGAUAUACAGCUGUGCACUAGAUAGAUAAAUAUAUUUAGUCUGAUCACGAUAGUAGGUUAGGAUUUUUAUGACGUACUUAUAUCACCAAAAUUCUUAAAGGGUUUAAUUGAAUACUUGUGAUCUCGAGAAAGAUGUAGGAUUUAAUUAGGCACACUUUAGAUGUAUCGAGAGAUAAUCUAAAAUAUAAUUGUGUGAUGCAUCGUUCAUAGUUUGUUAAGAAAUUAACUAAAUAAUUGACUCAAAUUUUGGAUUAAAACCUGAAACCCUAGACUUGGGUCUAUUGUUUUCUCACCACUGCUUUAAUUGAAUUGAUUAGUCUUUGAUUGCUUAGUUAGAAAAUACAACUUCAUGAAUUUAAAUUUUGUUAUUUUAGAAUAAUUAAAGUAGAAAAUUAACUCAUCCCUGUGGGUUCGACCCUGGAAUACUCCAAGUAAUUUAUUUCUACGAUUGAUCCUCUACGCUUAUAGGAAUUCGUUGAUCAUUGGGUAAACUUUCAGUUGUAAUUAAUUGAGGGUUAACUAGGAGAGUUGUAAAACUUCUUGACUCAACUAAAAGCUUUUAGGGUGAAGGAGUGAGCCUUCACUUGUACAAGUUGGUUAGUGUCGCCAUCAAUUAAAGAAGCUACUUAAUUGAUUCAACUCCAAGUUUGGAAGAAAUUUGUGUGUGUGAUUAGUUUGCAAUUCUUUUACUUUAUUGUUCUCUUUUUAUUAUUUGUUUGUGUGGCUUAAUUUGCUUACAUCUCUUAUUAUUGUGUUUGUUUGAGUGCUUGUUUAUUUAAACUAUUUUGGUUGAAUAAUUGAGUGAAAAUGUGGCCUUUACUUGUUUUAAUUUUUAUCAAUCUAAUUUAUCUCCCUCUUAAGUUACUUGGGGUUUACAGAAAGAUAUCCCUUAAAAAAUCAUAUUGUGUUAUAACCUAAAAUUCAUAAUUGCCUUUUGAAAAUGAUUCAUGAUCACAUAACCACUAAUAGCAGAAGCAAAAGUAACUAUAACAUCUUUCUUUUCAUAUUGGUUUGAUUGUGUCUUAAUGUUCAACAGUAUAUUUUUGAUGGUCAUUGUUUUUUAAACUAAACUAGAUUAGCCUUAAAAAGGGAGGGGGAAAGGACGGCGAAUAGUGGGAGCAAGAGUGAGAUGGUCAAAAGAGUGUCAUCUUUUCAAUCUAUCAAAUAGUGGGAAACAUUUGUGGCUUCCCCCAACCACUAUUUGUGGCUUCCCCCUCCCCAUUCCCCUAGAUUAGGCUAAAAUAAGUUAUACAAACUGUUAUCAUUGUUGGGAAAAAAAAAAUAGUGGGAAACAUAGAUGAUGGAUAUCAAGUCCAAGCACUCCACUUGUUGACUAACCAAAGAAAAAUAAGAAUUUAGAUAAGGAGAGUACAUAAUUAACUAUUUAUUUUUUAUUCUCAAUUGCUUUUUAAAACCUAUUUUCAAAAUUUUAGAGACAAAAGGCUAAAAGUCAAAAUGCAAUAAAAUAGGUGCUAUUGGAUUUUUAUUUUGCUUUUGAGAAUAAUAAAAAAACAACUGAAAACAAGCCCUGAUCAUGAAUAAAAAUUCCUGCAAUGUCAUGCUAUUGGAUCAAGGCCAUUAUUUUUUAAUUUUUGAAAGCUACAAGCUAAAUUCUAUUGGAUUUUUGCAGUUUUAUAUUUUCUUUCUUUCUUGUUGCAAAUGCCUAACCUUGGGGAUUUUUCUUUUUUUCUAUUUUGUUUAAAGCCUAAUCACGUAAGCUUUCAAAUAAAUGAUUGGUGGUGACAAAAUGGCAAGACAAAAAAGUGCAAGAAAGCUUUCACUUUGCAUAAUGAUUAAUUGCGUAUGAAAUCAAGCUUUCACUUUGCAAGUUUAUUUAAUGAGGAUAUUGAUAGGUACUUUAAUAAGAUCUCUAACUUUGAAAUGCUUCCUUUUCCUUUUUAUUUUAUGUAAGGUUUGAAGUCUCCCUUAAAUUUCCCAAAAAAAUUGGAAGAAACGCUAAUGAUGAAGUUCCUUAUUGGACUUUCAAACGCUUCUCUUCCCCCUUCUCCUUUUUAAGGUUUGGCGUCUCCCUUGAAAAAGCAAAAAGGAAAAAAAAGAUUAUGAUACAAAGUAUAAAUUAAGAAAAUGAUGCCAAAAAAUGCCCUUUUAUAUUCCAAUUCAGACGGUUUAGAUUCAAAUCUGAUUGUACAUACAAUUUUAUCUGUACUUCUUAUUAUACAAUACAAAAUUGAUAAACAACAUUGAAAUGGCUUUUUUUGAUUCCCAAUUUCCCAUACAUCUGAAACUUUCUCUAGAUUACCCUUCGAUCAUGCAUCUCUUUCCUCAAUCAAUGCCGCCUUCAUUCCUCAUCUUCUUUUACAAUUUCUAUAACCCAAUGCAGAGAUAAAUUUCUGCCUAGUAUUAAAUCAUCUGGUAGUCCCAUCAAGCUUCCAGCUGUUUGACUACAAUUUAUCCUGAUAAAAUUCCCAAGAAAUUGCUAGAAAAAUUCUCAGCAAUCAAGAAUCCAAUCUGCCAGCCGUGAAGGAUGAAAGAAGUCCAGCAGCCUGCGCAGGUAACAUGUCACCAAACCUGCCAACUUGCCCAUCUGUAAGAAUGGAUCCCAGUCUGAGAGUGCUCUCCCCAAAUCUGCUGCCAACCUGCAAUUUGCAUUAAGGAAUGAUUGCUCAGAUAUGAGGAAUAUUUUAACACGGUUUAUCACAAUGAUCUAUUCUACAAUCUGCUCUGCAGACAUAAACAGAUCGAAUCAGUAAAUUGCUCUCUCCAAAAGCAGUAACAGCUUUACAAGCUGAAAACCAGCUCAAGUACUGGUUGAACAAGUGCGCAAAGAUCCAGUUUUCUCAACCACCUAAACAUGGAUACAAUUUAUUCAUUAAAGAAAGGUUUCAGGCCUCAAAAAAAAUAAAUUUCCUGUUAUGUUUGACCUUUAAACUAGCAUUAACUGUCUGGUUUUUGUCCUCUGAAUCUCGAUAAGUAAGCUUUACUGCUGAUUGAACAGCAGAUUUCAAAUUUACUCUCUCUCUCUCUCUACAUUCGAUACUGAAACUAGCACAUGGCAACGCUUUUGGCCUUUCCCUUGAAUCUGGAUGAGGAAGCUUCAGUACUAUUAAAAAAGUUGAUGUCAAAUUUCCACACACAGUAUCUGUCUUGUCAUGUCCAAACACCCUCCACCUCUCUCUCUCUCUCUCUCUCUCUCUUACACAGACCUCUCUCCCCAACUAGUUUGAACACAAACUGAACCAUACGAGGAAAGUAUCACUAGUAGCAUCUUCUGUACACCAGUCAAAAUUACACCCAAAAAUUCAUGUAUUUACGCAGACAACUGGGGAUAUAUAGAGUUUUCAAAUAAAUAGAAGCAAAAAAUUUUCUUCAUAUGUUACCUGGCCCCAAGCAAAGGAAUUUUUGAACAGCAUUAGAUUAAGAAGUUCCUCAAACAUUAUUUUAGUAGAAGAGUUUAAGAUUUUUCCCCUCUCUUCUUAAUGAUAUGACAUCUCUCCAAUUUGAAGGUUGAAUUCCUAGUAUUUGCAUGUAUGUCUACAUGACAAAUUAUGAAGAUGUCUAGUGGAAAGCACUUAUGCUUGCUGAUGUUAACAAGCAAAACAAUUUGUUGAAAAUAAAUAGAACUAAUGUUUUCACAAGAGCAAUGACUAGCUCAAGUGGUAAGAACACACUUCUCACCAACAGAAUGCCAGGGUUUGACUCUCAUCGCAAUGAAUACAACACCAGAUUCCCACUUCCCCUUAGAUUAGAUAAUGAAUGGGAAAUUUUACCUGCAUGAAGGACCUCAAGAAAGGCGCUGCCAUCCCUAAACUUGAGUUAUCAUCAUAAUCAAUGUUCCGUGAGAGCUCAUCAGUUGUAUAGCUGUUCCGAGAACUUCUAGAAGAAACAUCAUCCAUAGAUGUUGAAGCUGAUGGCCUGGCUGGUCCUCUCGAAGACAAUGCUGGAGCACUGAAUAGCCAAAUAUAGAAUUAGCAGCAUUAGUUGAAAAUUAACAUAAACUACAACAAAUAAUAUAAAACCCUUCUUGAAGUAUGCUCAUUUUGCUAAAAUUAACUGCUUUUAAAGCUCAAGUCUAUCCCUUACUAUAAGAAAUUACAUACGCCCACCCAUGAGAGUAUCAAUGACAAGAAAAGUAGGAAAAGAAGAUAACUUUUAAGUGCACAAGUUAGUUAACUGGAAUAACAAUAUCAACCUGAUGGGAAGAUACUUGAAGCGAGGCACAUCAGAGCAUCGCAUGAUAUUUGAUUCAGAAUUACUAGGCAACUUUUGCGCUGUGUCCGUAUACAGUCUAUUAAGUUGGACAAAGAAUCCAAAAAGCACAGCAUGCCUCAAGUAUGAUUGCUUCCCAUUCUCCCGCAGGUAUGGCUCAUAGCUGAAUUAAAUCAAAAUCAUCAGAGAAAAUAGCAAUCAGGAGGAACCUUGUGUUUAUAUAACUUCUGCAACAACAAAACCUCAAGAUGUAAUGUUGAAUCAAGAGAAAUUGACAAGUCUUAGAUUUGAUUGGAUAAGAAUUGACCACAUGUAAACCUCUCAAUAAGUCCCUCAACACCAAGUCCCCAUAUACUGCAAUGCUAAUAAUAUUUUAAUUUUCCUUUCUUGAAACAGAGAACAGCCACAAUCUUCCAAGCAUAUUGAACAAAGUCUACUUGAAGAAGCUUACGUGAGCCAGUCUAUAGGAUCCAGUCUUUGUGAAAGGUGAGAUACCAAGCCAUCAAGACGCUCUCUAAUCACUGACUUGGUUUCAUGGAUGUCCUGCUUGAUUCUGAAUGGAAGCUUUACCUUUGGUACUUUUGAAGGCACAGUAUUAGAACUAACAUCACCGCCAGAUAAAACAUCAGCAACAAAUCUUAAAUCCAACAAGAUUUGCAGAAUUCCCUUUUCAGACACUUGAGAUCCAUGACAUUCAAGGAAAGCUACAUAAAUACCAAUAACCUGCAGACGCAAAUAAAUAAGAUGAAGACACCAUCCCCAAAUAAAUUCCUACUGCAUUGACAAAUGACAUAGAAUAGAAGAGUAUGUCAAGAAUCAAACUUAAUAGGCACACUUAAUCAUGUAUAUGAUUACCAUUAUUAUCUUAAGAGCAGAUUGUGCAUAGGACAAGAGCCAUCUUUAUACACAGAAACAAUGAUAUCAAAUCAGGCAACAGGCUAAAAUUCUUAAUGGGUCCAUGUUGUUCCAUUGAAAUCUGAGACAUCGCAGAACGAAUUUGGCUUGAAAUUGAAGUCUUGUUAGGUUAGUCGAGAGAUGUACAGUCCAUACAUCAUACCUCAAAAUCAAGAUUCCCUAAUAGGAGGUCUUACCAGACCAGUUGAGUGAAUAUAUACUAUAAUUCAAAAAAUAGAGUCAAGAAUGAGAAUUAAGUUAACUGCAUGGAUAUCAGGUUAAGUGGUUUUUCUUUCUUUUCCUACUUUCCAUUUUCUUUCCUAUUACUUAUUUCAAGAUCACCAUCACCAAAACUGGUGCCUAACUGUUCCCAGUCAUUCAAAAUUUUAAUCAGCUCAAUGUGAAGCUUCAGAAACUAAGUUAAUGUUUAUGUAUUAUCAGAGAACAAUACAUAAUAAAUUCCACCUUAUUUUGACAUAAAGUUACCAAACUAUAACACUACAAAUCCUGGUGCUCUCUAUUGGAACAGUAAACGACCUCAUCAAUUCACAUGAAAAAAAUUUUGAAGGAUAAUGAAGGGACAAGAGUUGGGACAAAUUUAUAUACUGACAGGCAUACAUUUAUACAUACAUAGGUAGCUUCCCAUAACAAUUGUGAGAAGAAAACUUUAUAUCUGAACGCAAUUCAAAAUACCAUCAGCAACAAGUACAUGCAGUUCCGUGGACCAAAGUCCCAUUUUGUCAGUGCAAGUUCAAUUAUGAGGUUGAACCACACCAGUAUGUUAAACUAACUAGGUCCAGGAAUAAACUUAAAGAGCAUGUAACAAUUUGCACAUCUUUUUCCCUGACAUAGCCUUGAAUUCUUUGUUAAAUUGAGGGAGAAUGCCCAAGUGUUGUGUGUGUUAUCAACAACUUUUCAUAUUAAGGAUCCACUUUUGCAUGUUAUUGAUAAAAGGAUAAAAACAACUUCUGAAGACCACUUAACCAAAACCCCAAUGGUAUAUAAGUUUUAUCACAAGUUACUUCCAAGUAGGCAUUCUUAAAAAUAAAUGACGGGUAUGUAGACAUCACAUUACAUGCUAUACCUAAUUGAUUAAAGUCGAAAAAAGUUUAUCACACACCUUUUCCAGUAGUCUUGAAGCAAAAUCUUGUAGGAUAGGCUUGUCAAGUACAUGACCACCAACUUGAUGAAUUUCUUCGCACGCUUGAAACAGGAAUGAGUUGAUAUAAAUAGAAGGCAUAGAUGGAAGCAAAAUUUGCAUUUCCGAUUCACCUUCAUUCAGCUGCUCUUGCUUGACUGCAAUCUUCUCCCAUCCCUGACCAAUAAUUAGAAAGAGUUACUAAGGUUCAAUGUCAGAUACAACAAUCUGGCAUAACAUCAUCACAAAGAACAGAUGACGUCCUCCAAAUUAUUAAUGAUUAUAAAAGCAAAUGCAACGCCUAUUACCACGAGUAAAAUAACAGAACAGUGCAAAAGGGAAAGGAGGAUAAAUAACAAAGGUUUCACAAAUUGACUCAGAACCUUAUAAGUCUACCUACCCCGCAGAAAGUCAUAAGCUUCUCAGCAAUCACAUAGGAUAUAUUGUUGACUGCAUCUUCUUGAAGUUUGAAAAAAGUAAGAGUUUAAGGAUAAACAAACAAUGAAUUUUAAUGGAACACAUGAAUACUAACCAUAUUAUAAUAUUUUGCAGAGACUGUGGAGUAAUCAAUCAGGAUAUUGUUACUUAAACUAAAUGCCAAUUGGAUUAUGCUAGUUUUCUAUCAGAAAAGAAACUGCAGCAGCUAUAGCUCCAUGACUCUCCUAACCGAGCAGCAUAAGGAAGCAUCAAAGGUCCACUGAGACAUUAUUAUGACACCAAGAAAUGCUACACUCUAGCCAAUUAUGAACUGAAAAAACGGUAGCCAAAGAGUGAUGGACCAUUGAUAACCUUACUAAUAUGAUUCAAACCCUUUUACUAUCACAAACAAAUGUUUUACAGAAUUAAGUGAAUACAGGUAAAGAAAGACUUUUUCAACAAAUUGAAGGAUCAUCUCUUUCUAAAAAUACAUCCACUAGCAUUGUUAAACAAAGAAACGAGAAGUUUCUAUGACCUCGAGAAAUCAUUGUUAUCUAUUGUUUUUAUGAGUGUCAAUUAGUUGCAUGGUAUAGAAAAUUCUUUCCUUAUGUACCACCUUUUAUGCUAGUUAGUGACACAGAACCCUGCUUCUGCUCCCUGACGCAUUCAAUCCUGUCUUCCAGGUAAAAUAUAAUCGAACCUACUUCUACCAUACAACUGCUAGCACCAAAAAGUGAAAAAAUAAAAAGGAGUUAGAAAGAGAACUACAAGAACAGCAACUCUGUAAUUUGAAGAAUUGUAGUACAAGAUGAAGAAUUUGGAAAGCAAUGCACUAUUCGACAUGCAUGCACUGCACAUUGUCAAAAAUCUCAGCCCAACUAUAAGGUAAGUAUUAGCAUGUUAACAACCAGGAUGCCCUCUUAAGUGAAACAUUCCAAAUAGCACAAGCGAAGAGCAUUUACUAAAAUAAAUGAAAAAACCAGUCAUUGUAUUCUUAUUCACGGUUGAAAGAAUGAAAAAGCAAAAUAAAAGCUGAAUGCUUAACAGCUUAAGUAUUCUUUUCUCACAGAUGACACCAUCAUAGGAGUAUCAUAAAUUGGCAAGGCUCAGAAAGUAGGAUUUGUCAUCAGCUUGAGAUUGGUUAUUUCAUUUCUAGCCUGCAUAUAAGUCUCUAAUAGCAUGCUAUAGUUUCCUAGCCUUGAUAUAAAAGGUGCUUUUUACCUCUUGUCAUAAACUACUUCACCUCUUAUAAGCAGAAUCUCACUGCCAGGACAUAUGGGGCGAGAACAGCAGUAUACUUUUUCCAGUCUAACAAGGCUCGUCCAAAAUCUUUACCACAGAAGUUACUUCAUCCAAGUUGUACCUUUUCUAGUAAUUAUGACUUGUACAUCAGAGCAACCAUUUACCAAUUUCAAAACUACUCAAGUUCGGCCUAACUAUAAUUAGCCAUCAGAGGUAUAAUAAUGAGCUAAAGCAGAAUGAAAGUACUUUACAUAUACAAAUAAUUAUAAUAGAGGAGAUUUGGUGGCAACAUGAUAAAAUGGAGAAGAAAAUAGGAAAAGAAAUAUAAAACAAAAAGUUUGGCAAGUUAAUAGGGACUUAAAUGUCACGGGCAUUGAAGUUAUAACAUCAUAUUUUGAUAGAAAACCAACCAUAUGACCUUGACUGUUAACCAUAGGGUGCACAGUGUCGUUUAAAAAACUAAGAGAGGUACAUCUUCGGUCAUCUAAUAUGGUAAAUAUGCUAUGAGUCAAAAUUAUUUUUCUCCCAUGAAUAAUGGCUGAAAAUAACCUCUUUCCCACUCAUGAAUUCUGUAGGUACAGUAGUCAAAUAACUAAUACAGAGUUGCAAAGUUAAAUAGAGCUGACAAAAGUUUUAUAAAUCAAAAUUUAAACUAACCACUGCAAUCAAAUUUCUAUUGUAUUCAACACAAGACAUGCCCUGAACAAAUUUCCUUGUAUUCCAUUUCUUUUCAAGGCAGAGGUCUCGUGCAUUUUAUUAGCUAAAAAUGUAAGUACCUAACACACCAAUCAUAUGAGGUACGUGUACUAAUUCAGUUGAUAGCUUGACAUAUCUCCUCAUAUUGUAGAUCAAAAUACACACUGUAUAAAGCAAGCAAACACUUUGAAAAGAAUUGAUCACAUUCAAGCAGAAAAAGAAAAGAAAAGAAAUUCUACUGACGAACCAGCACCUAGAGGAUCCCAUUGUCCAACAAAAUGUCGAGCACUUAAAUAAGGCACUGUUCAUAAAUAAACAACAAUUUCUUAAUGAUAUCCAUACUGUAGCAAAACUAAUAUUGCUAUAGUUAAAGAGAAAAGCCACUUACUCUCAAGGGUGCAGCUGCUGAUAAGGCAUCAUCUUUUUCAACAUUCGCUGAGAGAAUUCUUGAUAGUUCAUCAGAGACCCACGAUAUCCAUAUAUUGUGCGCUCUAAUGCAAAGAUCUUGGGUUGUUCUGCUAAGUUCUUCAAGUUUUGGACUUGAAUUGUCAUCUAUUCCAAACAAAGCAGAUGCCGCCAAUGAAGUUUGUCUUUUGGGGGAAUCAAGCAUUUUCUUUCCAGGACUAUCACUCAUAAAGGAGUCAAAAGAUGAUCUAGAAUACCUCAAAGCAGCACGGGACUUGAGCGAGACACCAGCAAAAGUUUCAUUCAACCACGAUCUUGGUGAACCAAGAAUUACGGGCACAUGCCUAGAGUGCUUCUGGAAAGCAAACAAUAGUCGACCAAUAAAUAGAGACCUCUCAACAAUUAUGGCAGCCAGAGGUGUGGAUUCACCUUCCUGAUCCACAUUUUUCAGGUCAGCAUCCAAUAGGUCUAGCUCGCUCUUAAGAUCUCUCAAUAUGGUUGACAUGGUUGCGUAACAUUUAUUCUGCAAAUAUGGGGCCAAAUCCUUCAACCUUACAGGUGCCUUUGGAGACUCGAGGAAAAAGAGGAGGUCCUCAAGGACAAGCUCACAUCGGCUGUCAACGGCAUCUCUGAUUCGGCUAACUUCUGCCCCAAAGUAAGCAUUGAGACAAGUACGAACAUCAUUCUGCUCAGUACACUGUGAUGAACCAACUCUUUUAAUAUUUGGUUCCAUGAACCAAACUCCACCAGCAUUUGGAACUCUAUUCGGGUAAGACUGGAAACCAACAUCACUAGGUGUUUUCACAAUAGUCCGGACUGACUCCACAACAGACACUGCUCCGCUCAACUCCUCAAAUCUGGUAUCAAUAAUUGCUUUCAUCCUCUGAAGAAAAGCAUCUUCAAAUAUGUCGUCCCAGAGAUCAGAGUCAUCACCCAACACAAGUUCACGUGUCCUUUUCCAUGGCAAUUCAAUCUCAGAACCAAAAACACUCUUAAGCCACUCCAAACUCCCCUCCAAGACUUGUUUACUGUCCAUGGUCUCUCUUAUCAACUUCUCAGCCGAAGCAAGCUCUUUCCCACUUGCAAUCACAUCAAUCAAGUACCUCCCAUUGAUGUUGUUCACAAUCUCCUUUCCACAAUUCCUCAACCAAUCAGAACAAGUCCUCGCAAGAAAAUCUCUGUCUAACGUUACCAUGGUAGACUCCAGUUUAUCCCUAAAUGCAGUCCAUAACCUCACUUCCUCGUCAGGAUUUGGAAUCCCCCCAAACAACUGAGAAGCCGGGGGUGAACCCAAAAUAGUCUUAUAAAACAAAGGCAUAUCAUUCAGUACCUGCAAAAACAACUCCCCAACUUGCCCUACACUAACCUGAAUUAUCCUCAACACUUGACAGAACACUGAAAUCACAUCAGAACUAUCAGCAUUAACAUUACUAGAACAAGCACUCAAUUUCUGUAAAAUACAAGACUUUCGUGAAUCCAAAAACAAACUCAGAAUCUGUUUCGGAUCAAGCUCAUCAAUAAUCGCAACAGCAGCAAGAGCAUCAGCAUAAGCAUUGAUCCCAAGCUCAAGAAGAAGGGCUUGAUCCAACAACCUCUCACGACUCCUCUGCGAGAUCUGAGCCUUAAAACUCUCCACUAUCUGCCACUGAUGCUGAAGCAACGGAAAUUUCGACAACACAUUGUAACUACCACCAUUCCUAAUACCGACACUAUCGUUAUUCAUAACAAUUAGGUAAUCAUGAACAUGUUUUGCACGGAUAUAUCUAGCUGAAGCUUCCAUAAACAUAGAUUCAUCAAGACAACCCCAAAUAUUUUCUGGGGUAUCUACAAGAUACUUAACCCGGCAAGCAAUGCCAUAAAUCCGGGCCCUGUUGGAAUUGGCAUUGGAAUUGACUGUCCUAGGACUAUCAAUUGAUGAAGAAAGAUUGCUGACUAUAGAAUGAUGAAUAGCUGAAAUGUUAGUAGAGAUAAACUCACAAGUGGACUUCAUUUGAACAAUGGAAUCGGCUGAAUCUAUAAGAUCUCUGUAUCUAUUGCCCACAAGUUGCCUCAACUCCUCGCUCUUGUCCUCGAUCUCUUUCCUCGUGGUUGCCUCUACUUUUCGGAUGUCUGAGAUGGGCUUCGUUCGAAAUAGCAAUUCUGCAUCUUGGUUUCUGUAACCACCACCACCACCGCCACCGCCGGGGGUGGGAGCGGCGGUGGUGGAAGGGGACUGAGGAGGUGGCGGCGUUACGAUUCUCAUAAUUUUCUAUUUUCACCCUUCUAGGAGUCAAGUGAGGAAUGGUUUGAUUAUAAUUAGACCAAAUUGGAGUUCGAUCGGGUAUCACAGGUACUGUUAGUUUGAGGUGGAAGGAGAAGUACAACAGAAGAAGCUAUUCUAUUUCCGUUGGUUCUGCAACUUGGGACACCAUUUAUUUAAUUAAUUGCAAUUAGGGUCUUGAACCAUUACUAAUUAGCAUUUUGCACCUACACCUAUCAAUAGUGAUUCUUUUUUUUAGUUUUUUUUUU
This 15374-nucleotide long non-coding RNA is filed under the name Coffea arabica (coffee). RNAcentral's name for it is "long non-coding RNA (CARA_LNC004680)". Lineage: Eukaryota; Viridiplantae; Streptophyta; Magnoliopsida; Gentianales; Rubiaceae. The record is from RNAcentral.